Molecule: ribosomal RNA, 626 nt
Filed under: Blastomyces parvus
Lineage: Eukaryota; Fungi; Ascomycota; Eurotiomycetes; Onygenales; Ajellomycetaceae
Description: eukaryotic LSU rRNA
Rfam family: Eukaryotic large subunit ribosomal RNA
Source: RNAcentral
AUCAGGUAGGGAUACCCGCUGAACUUAAGCAUAUCAAUAAGCGGAGGAAAAGAAACCAACAGGGAUUGCCUCAGUAACGGCGAGUGAAGCGGCAAAAGCUCAAAUUUGAAAUCUGGCUCCUUCGGGGCCCGAGUUGUAAUUUGCAGAGGAUGCUUCGGGCGUGGCCGCGGUCUAAGUCCCCUGGAACGGGGCGUCGCAGAGGGUGAGAAUCCCGUCUUCGGCCGGCCGGCUUCGCCCGUGUGAAGCUCCUUCGACGAGUCGAGUUGUUUGGGAAUGCAGCUCUAAAUGGGUGGUAAAUUUCAUCUAAAGCUAAAUAUUGGUCGGAGACCGAUAGCGCACAAGUAGAGUGAUCGAAAGAUGAAAAGCACUUUGAAAAGAGAGUUAAACAGCAUGUGAAAUUGUUGAAAGGGAAGCGCUUGCGACCAGAGUCGGCCGCGGGGGUUCAGCGGGCAUUCGUUGCCCGUGCACUCCCCCGCGGGCGGGCCAGCGUCGGUUUUGACGGCCGGUCAAAGGCCCCCGGAAUGUGUCGCCUCUCGGGGCGUCUUAUAGCCGGGGGUGCAAUGCGGCCAGUCGGGACCGAGGAACGCGCUUCGGCACGGACGCUGGCUUAAUGGUCGUAAGCGACC